UUGUUUUGUUUGACCUUGGAUGCUUGAUAGGUAUUUUAGAUAAAUACACUGUUAGGUGUUCUUUUAAGUAUGCAUAGCAUUACAUGAAAGUCACUGUAGGAACCAGCUAAUAUAUAUAUAAAAGCUAAACUAUCACCAAGACUUCUUAAGCCAUAGCUUGACCUUCGGAAAAGUCCUUGACUUUUCCAAGCAGUAGCUUUCGUAAUAGUCGCUGAAUUCCAUUACAUUUUCCUGCAGCUUGCAGCAGGGGUAGGCAGAGAGUGGUAUGGGUACUCUUUUACAAGUGACCAGGAAAGACAAUUGUGAUAAAAUGACAUUUAUGCAAAGACACUCAUGGCAGGAACCAUGGAGACACAUGUUGGGCUGCACAAAAACACAGGCCCUGGACAAGAGCUAAUGUGCUUGAAGGCUGAGAAGGAUAGGAAGAGCUGAAGGGAAGAGAAAUGUACACAAGAGGCUAGCGGAGGGGGCGGGGCAGCCCUGUCAGGGCUUUCCAGGCUGCAGCCAAGCCUGGGAUAAAAUUCAGACACUAAGGCCUCUGACUUGAACAGAAGGCUUCAGAUCUUUGUAAAAGUAGUUCAUAAUGUUCUCAGGCAAUUUUAGCUCUGAUUAACUGCGUGCAAAGGCCUUGAUGCGUUUUUUAUAAUUACAUUGUAGGUAUUGUCUAUGAGGCAUAUUUUCUGUUAAAGAGCCAAGAAGAAUCACUGUACAAUGAUUUUUUUUAUGUCUCCAUAUAAAAUAAAAUUAAUGGCCCCUCCAGCCUAGUGUUUGUUUGCGGGGGUCAUUAUCUUAGAAGGAGGAGAAUUCUCGUUCAUGGUGACUAAGCAUAUUGAUUAAGAAUAAAUUGCAGGUAAGUUGAAAUAUGAUUUUUAAAUGAAAUAAAUCCAAGCAUGCAUGGCUUGGCCUCCUGAUUUUAAACUUAAAAAUCUGGAGAUUUUGAAAAGUUAGUCUUCUUUUAUUCUUAUCUGGUGCAAAGGUAUGACCCUUAAGUUCGUAAGUACCUGGAACUAUCAUGUUUUAUGGGGGCAGAGCAAAUUUCCAAAGGGGUGAAAAAGAUUUAAAUAAUAUUCCAUUUGGGUAGUAUAAUGUUAAUUAGGAAGAUGACAAAUAGAAAUUAAUUUCAAUUUUACAUGACCUGCUGUGUGUCUCAGCUUCUAGUUCAUCCAGAGUUUGUCUUCUGCUUCUCCAGCAGAACAGGUACUCCACUUGGGGAUGCCAACUGAAUAGAAAUUAAAUGAACUGCUCGACCACAAGUGCCUGAGGAAUUGCAGAGCUUCAUUUUGGGGCUGAAAGGAUGGCAGAUAUGUACUUUGGUGGCCUCAAAUGGAUGACAGGCUUCUGUGAAGCAUCCUGGCUGUCAGACAUACAGUUCCUUAUUGGACAGACUGUUUCAUGAGUGCAGAGGGGGUGCCGAUACUGGAGCAGAACUGUUUGGAAUUACAGCACCCCUCAGUUGCUGCCCACCUGGGAGACUCUAGGCAAGUCAUCUCCCAUUAGACAAAAAGGGAAACCGAGUCUUUUUGCCGUUAAAUAAUUUCCUCAAGGUCACGUGAUGGUCGAACAGGCUGGAAAGGGAGACUCGCUAAGCUGCUCUUCUUUAAACACCAACGUGAAAGACACACACUUAGGGAGCAGCAGGGAGGGUCGGACUGAGCCUUCAAAUUCUACAUCUCCUCCACUUCCCCAAACUAAGCAUUUUAUUGAUAUAUUUCAGAAAUGAUUAAAACAUAAAAAUUACAUUGUGGUUUUUAUAACGUUUGUGAUUUCUGGGCUGUAAAAGACAAUAAAUGAUAAUAAUAACACAUCUAACUCUACUCUCAAGAAUGAUUUUCUACUGUCAUUUAUUAGGCAUUCACUUCAGUACUUUGCUAAGCACUUUUCACAUAUUAUUUUAUGUUUUAAAAAAAGUAGCCAUAAAUUUUACUAUGU
Long non-coding RNA from Peromyscus leucopus (white-footed mouse), 1929 nucleotides. RefSeq lists it as uncharacterized. The record is from RefSeq and is a predicted model, not a curated record. NCBI's taxonomy places the organism in Eukaryota, Metazoa, Chordata, Mammalia, Rodentia, Cricetidae. The transcript has 3 exons.